Molecule: transfer RNA, 67 nt
Filed under: Halocynthia papillosa
Lineage: Eukaryota; Metazoa; Chordata; Ascidiacea; Stolidobranchia; Pyuridae
Description: transfer RNA-Lys
Source: RNAcentral
GAGAUGGAAGCUAUUUAAGCGUUAGAUUUUUGAUCUAGAGAAGAGGAUAAAAAAACCUUUCAUUUCA